AAGCAAGCAGUCAUGUGGACCUCAUCACCCUCUUCCUAUUCUCAACCCUUUGAGCUUAUUACAAUUCUCAACCACAAAAGUUCUCCCUCCUAACAUGUUUGAUUUUUAAGCUAACCAAUCUCCAACAACAAUCUCACUCAGCUGUUCGGAGGUGUGGUUCCAAACAGGAAUACAUAGGAUAUGGAUGGCUCAGCCUCAAAGCCUUGUAGCACAACAAGAGGAAUUGGUUUGGUUAAAGCCGCUGUUAACUUAUAUCGUAACAGGAAUAUUGCAGAUGUUAAUAGUCCUUCGCUGAAAAAGAAUUUCUCAACGAAGCACUCUUCAAAAGCAAAACAACUCCACAAACGAAGCAAUGAUAUUGUUCGGUACAAAGAGACCAAAUGGGCAGUAGAAUGUGCAAAAGCUCAAGCAGAAGCUGAGGUUUCCAAUGCUAAACAGACAGUGAAAUAUCUUUUCUCUAUGAUUGGGGAAUCUAUGUACAAGGCAAAAGCCGAAAUGUGAGACAUGGCACCACUAAAGAAGUAUGUGAAACCGAGCAACGAUGAUAAUCAGUAUUCACAAGUUAUGACAGAAUUGGAACAUGCUAAGUGGGAAUUGUUCCAACUUAAGCUUCAUGUGGGUUCUGUUUUGCAGGAGAAACUGCGAGUGGAGAACAAAAUCAAAGCAUCGAGAUCCAGCAUGUAGUCCUUCUCAAGAGUAGCACAAAAACUGAGGAAGGAGAUUGAGGAAGCCAGUGAAGAACAAUUGGUGGUUCAAUUGGCCAGAAUGGAUGCUUUCAAUGAACUUAGAGACAUUGAACAAGUUGAAAACACAAGGAACAAAUUGAAAGAGGCCAUUCAAGCGAUAGAUGAUACAAAAGAGCUCGAAAUGAAAUUGGCCACGACAUUGUCUGAUAUUGAUAUGUUGAAGAAUGAGUUCAAGUUUGUUAACAAAACGGGGAAAAGGUUACUUCAAAGAGGUGGUCAAAGCAUUGAGCAUAUAGAAGAACAUUAAUCAAGACAUGUUGGUGUGUUAGAGCCUACAAAAGAAGAAAUAGAGGCAGCAAAGAAAGACUUGGCUUCCAUUACAGAACAAGGUUUUAAGUUUAUGGCCUCUAUGGAUGUCACAAGAAAUCAACUGAAGUAUGUGAGUGCAACCACGAUUCAUUUAAAGAACACGAAAUCGAAAAUUGGUGCAAAAGUUUGAAACCUCAGUUACAAGCUCUUGAGAGCAAAAUCUAAAUUUGAAGUCGUGUCUGCUGUAGAGGAAAAGGCCAAAUCAAUAGUGAGUAACUUGACACAAACUCUUGAUAAGCUCAAGUCCGAAAUAAAAGUAGCAAAAAAAGAAAAAGAUCUUAUAAUAAAUGGAGAGGUUGCAGAAACCAAAGAAGAGAUUAAAAAGGCCUUGUUGGAGAUAAAGGUGACUGAGAAAAGAUUUCAAGGUGUCGUGUAGGAGCUAGAAGUAGUGAAAUCGUCAAAAGCUUUAGCCUUGGAGAAGCUCAAGAUUCUUAGGGAGAAUGCCAUGAAAGACAAAAUUAGUAAUGUAACAAAGCCUAGUUCGUUAAUUAUCAUAUCUAAGUUUGAAUAUGAAUAUUUGAGAAACCAUGCACGGAAGUCAAAUGAAAUUGCUGAGAAGGUAAAAUGAAUUAAAUUUUUCUCAUAAGCAUAAACUAAGCUUAUCCAUAAGCAUAAGUUUAAAUCAGCUUUUAGAUAAUCUAAAUGACACUCUGAGAGGGUUUAGACAAAUUAGUUUAUUCUUGUUUUAACUUGUGAGACUAGUUUAUUUUAUUUUUCUUUUUAUUUAAUUAUGUAACAAGUACUAUUUAUUGAGAAAUUUAUCUAAACAACACAAGAAAAUCUUUGAGGUAAUUGUGAUGAUGGUAUGCUCCCACUUACAGAACAAAUUAAGGGAAUAACUUGUUUUUGACACUCUAAGGGGUGACUGGAUGGUGGCCUUUGGCAUUUGGGAAUUUGACCCUCUAAAGCUAAGUAAUCCAUUCCAU
Long non-coding RNA from Glycine soja, 1981 nucleotides. RefSeq lists it as uncharacterized. NCBI's taxonomy places the organism in Eukaryota, Viridiplantae, Streptophyta, Magnoliopsida, Fabales, Fabaceae. The record is from RefSeq and is a predicted model, not a curated record. The transcript is spliced from 3 exons.